Molecule: ribosomal RNA, 497 nt
Filed under: uncultured bacterium
Lineage: Bacteria
Description: partial 16S ribosomal RNA
Rfam family: Bacterial small subunit ribosomal RNA
Source: RNAcentral
GAUGAACGCUGGCGGCGUGCCUAAUACAUGCAAGUCGAGCGAACAGACGAGGAGCUUGCUCCUCUGACGUUAGCGGCGGACGGGUGAGUAACACGUGGAUAACCUACCUAUAAGACUGGGAUAACUUCGGGAAACCGGAGCUAAUACCGGAUAAUAUAUUGAACCACAUGGUUCAAUAGUGAAAGACGGUUUUGCUGUCACUUAUAGAUGGAUCCGCGCCGCAUUAGCUAGUUGGUAAGGUAACGGCUUACCAAGGCAACGAUGCGUAGCCGACCUGAGAGGGUGAUCGGCCACACUGGAACUGAGACACGGUCCAGACUCCUACGGGAGGCAGCAGUAGGGAAUCUUCCGCAAUGGGCGAAAGCCUGACGGAGCAACGCCGCGUGAGUGAUGAAGGUCUUCGGAUCGUAAAACUCUGUUAUUAGGGAAGAACAAAUGUGUAAGUAACUAUGCACGUCUUGACGGCACCUAAUCAGAAAGCCACGGCUAACUACGUG